CCUACGGGAGGCAGCAGUGGGGAAUCUUGUGCAAUGGACGAAAGUCUGACACAGCCACGCCGCGUGCGGGAAGAAGGCCUUCGGGUUGUAAACCGCUUUCAGCAGGAACGAAAAUGACGGUACCUGCAGAAGAAGAUGCGGCCAACUACGUGCCAGCAGCCGCGGUGAUACGUAGGCAUCAAGCGUUGUCCGGAUUUAUUGGGCGUAAAGAGCUCGUAGGCGGUUCAGCAAGUCGGGUGUGAAAACUCUGGGCUUAACCCAGAGCCUGCACUCGAAACUGCUGUGACUAGAGUUCGGUAGGGGAGCAGGGAAUUCCUAGUGUAGCGGUGAAAUGCGCAGAUAUUAGGAGGAACACCAAUGGCGAAGGCACUGCUCUGGGCCGAUACUGACGCUGAGGAGCGAGAGCGUGGGUAGCAAACAGGAUUAGAUACCCUGGUAGUCCACGCCGUAAACCGAUGGGCGCUAGGUGUGGGUCUCUAACCAACGAGAUCUGCGCCGUCGCUAACGCAUAAGUGCCCGCCUGGGGNGGUACGGUCGCGAGACGUUAAACGUACGAAGUUAGUAGUUGCGNGNGNGACGACGCGACGACGACGGAGAGGNG
This 601-nucleotide ribosomal RNA is filed under the name uncultured bacterium. Its description in RNAcentral is "partial 16S ribosomal RNA". The stretch from base 1 to 521 matches the Rfam family "Bacterial small subunit ribosomal RNA", at positions 338 to 873 of the family's 1533-position model. The record is from RNAcentral.